RNAcentral lists this ribosomal RNA (465 nucleotides) under uncultured Klebsiella sp. Its description in RNAcentral is "bacterial SSU rRNA". It matches the Rfam family "Bacterial small subunit ribosomal RNA", at positions 338 to 795 of the family's 1533-position model. The record is from RNAcentral. Lineage: Bacteria; Pseudomonadati; Pseudomonadota; Gammaproteobacteria; Enterobacterales; Enterobacteriaceae.
CCUACGGGCGGCUGCAGUGGGGAAUAUUGCACAAUGGGCGCAAGCCUGAUGCAGCCAUGCCGCGUGUGUGAAGAAGGCCUUCGGGUUGUAAAGCACUUUCAGCGGGGAGGAAGGCGGUGAGGUUAAUAACCUCAUCGAUUGACGUUACCCGCAGAAGAAGCACCGGCUAACUCCGUGCCAGCAGCCGCGGUAAUACGGAGGGUGCAAGCGUUAAUCGGAAUUACUGGGCGUAAAGCGCACGCAGGCGGUCUGUCAGGUCGGAUGUGAAAUCCCCGGGCUCAACCUGGGAACUGCAUUCGAAACUGGCAGGCUAGAGUCUUGUAGAGGGGAGUAGAAUUCCAGGUGUAGCGGUGAAAUGCGUAGAGAUCUGGAGGAAUACUGGUGGCGAAGGCGGCCCCCUGGACAAAGACUGACGCUCAGGUGCGAAAGCGUGGGGAGCAAACAGGAUUAGAUACCCCAGUAGUC